GUAUUAACGCCGGCAGAACGGGCUACAUUGAUGUUGUAGAAUAUAAAAUAUUAGUUUUUUAAUACU
Molecule: transfer RNA, 66 nt
Filed under: Callochiton steinenii
Lineage: Eukaryota; Metazoa; Mollusca; Polyplacophora; Chitonida; Callochitonidae
Description: tRNA-Ile
Source: RNAcentral